CUUUUGGGACUCCAGCUUCAUAAAGUAGGAGGUGAAAUCGAAAGUACAGUUUACAAAGCUGUGAAAAAGUUGGAUAUUGAAAAGAUUCCUGCAGAAAGAAUGAGUUGCAUUGCAGAAAGAAUUUACUUAUGAAGAGUAUCAGAGGAGUGGAACWCCUUUGUUAGUCAGAUGAACAACUGGUUGAAACCUUAUAUGACAAUUAAGUAUUUAAUUAAUAGUAAUAUUAGCAUAUCAGUAUCAUUCACUAUCUUGAUACAUUUGGUUAGUUUAAAGGUUUUUAUUCCUUCCUGAAUCUUUACUGCAGAAAGCUGUAUUUUCUCCAUAUGUUAGUCCUGUGAAAUUAUAUGUAUGCCUACUAACUAAAUAUAUUCUAAGGAAAAUUCCUGUCUCUGUGUAGGAGUUAACAAAAUUACAGUUUUCAAGCUUAUAUUUUCU
Long non-coding RNA from Nothoprocta perdicaria, 435 nucleotides. RefSeq lists it as uncharacterized. The transcript has 2 exons. Lineage: Eukaryota; Metazoa; Chordata; Aves; Tinamiformes; Tinamidae. The record is from RefSeq and is a predicted model, not a curated record.